AUUGAACGCUGGCGGCAGGCCUAACACAUGCAAGUCGAACGAACUCUUCGGAGUUAGUGGCGGACGGGUGAGUAACACGUGGGAACGUGCCUUUAGGUUCGGAAUAACUCAGGGAAACUUGUGCUAAUACCGAAUGUGCCCUGCGGGGGAAAGAUUUAUCGCCUUUAGAGCGGCCCGCUUCUGAUUAGCUAGUUGGUGAGGUAGCGGCUCACCAAGGCGACGAUCAGUAGCUGGUCUGCGAGGAUGGCCAGCCACACUGGGACUGAGACACGGCCCAGACGCCUACGGGAGGCAGCAGUGGGGAAUCUUGCGCAAUGGGCGAAAGCCUGACGCAGCCAUGCCGCGUGAAUGAUGAAGGUCUUAGGAUUGUAAAAUUCUUUCACCGGGGACGAUAAUGACGGUACCCGGAGAAGAAGCCCCGGCUAACUUCGUGCCAGCCGCCGCGGUAA
This 449-nucleotide ribosomal RNA is filed under the name uncultured bacterium. Its description in RNAcentral is "partial 16S ribosomal RNA". It matches the Rfam family "Bacterial small subunit ribosomal RNA", at positions 30 to 523 of the family's 1533-position model. The record is from RNAcentral.